RNAcentral lists this long non-coding RNA (725 nucleotides) under Anas platyrhynchos platyrhynchos (common mallard). RNAcentral describes it as "lncRNA (ENSAPLG00000026889.1)". Lineage: Eukaryota; Metazoa; Chordata; Aves; Anseriformes; Anatidae. The record is from RNAcentral.
AUUUCAACAGGCUUCAGGAGUGAACUGAAGAAAUUGCACUGCGGAGAUGUUACCUGUUGGUCAAAAGUACAAAAACUCUUCUCAGUUGGAUAUCACAUGGUCACAGAAUGUCUUUCAUGGUGAUGCUUUGUACUGAAGGUCUGCCCAGGGGAAGCACUAACAGCCCAACACAUUACUGGUUCACCAGUUAUUAAUCUCCCCUAUACAGGGACAAGUUUUGACGUGUAUAAAUAGUCACAGUGAGUAUUAUCACCAGUUGUGUGUCCUUGGUGUUUCUGACCUCUUCUCACAAGUUCAGUUUGUACUGGAGCCAUAAGGAUUCAUUGAUGUUUUUUGACUAUUAAGAACACACAGAAACUGAAGACUGCUGCAUGUCAGGAAGCUCCUAGAUUCAUGGACCAUAAUUAGAGGCAGCGAAGCCCAGACAUGACAAGAGGACGAAGAUGAUGUUAAAACUGUAUAACAGGAUGGAGCUUCCCAGAAAACUACGGCUCAUUAAACUGGAAAAAGUCACAAGCUCUGUCACCCUAUCAAAUUGGGUAAGUAGUCCUGGGGAAAAGCAAGACUCACUGUGUAAUGACAUCAUUUAGUGGUGAACUUGUAGAGUUAGGUGGAUGCCUGGACUUGAUCUUAAUGGUAUUUUCCAGUGUUAAUGAUUCUACAAUUCUAUGAUUUGGGGGCAGCAAAGCACUUGGGGUCCAGAAGAGAUAUGCAGGCCUGAGAAG